This 72-nucleotide transfer RNA is filed under the name Camelus bactrianus (Bactrian camel). It matches the Rfam family "tRNA". From Rfam's summary of the family: Transfer RNA (tRNA) molecules are approximately 80 nucleotides in length. RNAcentral also lists the same sequence under 3 other names. Lineage: Eukaryota; Metazoa; Chordata; Mammalia; Artiodactyla; Camelidae. The record is from Rfam by way of RNAcentral.
GGGGUUAUAGCUCAGUGGUAUAGUGCAUGCUUAGCAUGUAUAAGGCCCUGGGUUCACUCUCCAGCAUCUCCA